This 253-nucleotide ribosomal RNA is filed under the name uncultured bacterium. RNAcentral's name for it is "partial 16S ribosomal RNA". It matches the Rfam family "Bacterial small subunit ribosomal RNA", at positions 524 to 776 of the family's 1533-position model. The record is from RNAcentral.
UACGGAGGGAGCUAGCGUUGUUCGGAUAUACUGGGCGUAAAGCGCACGUAGGCGGCGCAGCAAGUCAGGGGUGAAAUCCCGGAGCUCAACUCCGGAACUGCCCUUGAAACUGCAGUGCUAGAAUCCUGGAGAGGCGAGUGGAAUUCCGAGUGUAGAGGUGAAAUUCGUAGAUAUUCGGAAGAACACCAGUGGCGAAGGCGACUCGCUGGACAGGUAUUGACGCUGAGGUGCGAAAGCGUGGGGAGCAAACAGG